Molecule: ribosomal RNA, 497 nt
Filed under: uncultured bacterium
Lineage: Bacteria
Description: partial 16S ribosomal RNA
Rfam family: Bacterial small subunit ribosomal RNA
Source: RNAcentral
GACGAACGCUGGCGGCGUGCCUAAUACAUGCAAGUUGAGCGCUGAAGGUUGGUACUUGUACCAACUGGAUGAGCAGCGAACGGGUGAGUAACGCGUGGGGAAUCUGCCUUUGAGCGGGGGACAACAUUUGGAAACGAAUGCUAAUACCGCAUAAAAACUUUAAACACAAGUUUUAAGUUUGAAAGAUGCAAUUGCAUCACUCAAAGAUGAUCCCGCGUUGUAUUAGCUAGUUGGUGAGGUAAAGGCUCACCAAGGCGAUGAUACAUAGCCGACCUGCGAGGGUGAUCGGCCACAUUGGGACUGAGACACGGCCCAAACGCCUACGGGAGGCAGCAGUAGGGAAUCUUCGGCAAUGGACGAAAGUCUGACCGAGCAACGCCGCGGGAGGGAAGAAGGUUUUCGGAUCGUAAAACUCUGUUGGUAGAGAAGAACGUUGGUGAGAGUGGAAAGCUCAUCAAGUGACGGUAACUACCCAGAAAGGGACGGCUAACUACGUG